UUAAACGCGCCCGCUCCAUGCGCGAUAUUCGUAACGAAAGGGUAAGGGAGGAUUUCUCCCCCCUCUGAUCAGUUGUUAGUAAGUCGGGAAACUUAACAGUAACAACACAACCAGUAUGAUGACGAACUUCAUCAUAACCCUUUCCUUCUA
Molecule: small RNA, 150 nt
Filed under: Escherichia coli
Lineage: Bacteria; Pseudomonadati; Pseudomonadota; Gammaproteobacteria; Enterobacterales; Enterobacteriaceae
Description: QUAD RNA
Rfam family: Short Intergenic Abundant RNA (bases 32-150)
About the family: This family contains multiple ncRNA from E. coli that were identified in a large scale screen of E. coli, were they were called candidates 43,55 and 61. These RNAs have also been identified by other groups and called QUAD RNAs.
Source: RNAcentral